UACGAAGGGGGCUAGCGUUGCUCGGAAUCACUGGGCGUAAAGCGCACGUAGGCGGAUUCUUAAGUCAGGGGUGAAAUCCUGGAGCUCAACUCCAGAACUGCCUUUGAUACUGGGAAUCUCGAGUCCGGGAGAGGUGAGUGGAACUGCGAGUGUAGAGGUGAAAUUCGUAGAUAUUCGCAAGAACACCAGUGGCGAAGGCGGCUCACUGGCCCGAUACUGACGCUGAGGUGCGAAAGCGUGGGGAGCAAACAGG
This 253-nucleotide ribosomal RNA is filed under the name uncultured bacterium. Its description in RNAcentral is "partial 16S ribosomal RNA". It matches the Rfam family "Bacterial small subunit ribosomal RNA", at positions 524 to 776 of the family's 1533-position model. The record is from RNAcentral.